GCUCCUGUAGCUCAGUGGUUAGAGCGCGGUACUUAUAAUGCUGAGGCGCGAGUUCAUCUCGCCAGAGCA
This 69-nucleotide transfer RNA is filed under the name Enterocytozoon bieneusi H348. RNAcentral describes it as "tRNA-Ile (TAT) (tRNA-Ile-TAT-3-1)". It matches the Rfam family "tRNA". Rfam says of the family: Transfer RNA (tRNA) molecules are approximately 80 nucleotides in length. Their secondary structure includes four short double-helical elements and three loops (D, anti-codon, and T loops). Further hydrogen bonds mediate the characteristic L-shaped molecular structure. tRNAs have two regions of fundamental functional importance: the anti-codon, which is responsible for specific mRNA codon recognition, and the 3' end, to which the tRNAs corresponding amino acid is attached (by aminoacyl-tRNA synthetases). tRNAs cope with the degeneracy of the genetic code in two manners: having more than one tRNA (with a specific anti-codon) for a particular amino acid; and 'wobble' base-pairing, i.e. permitting non-standard base-pairing at the 3rd anti-codon position. Lineage: Eukaryota; Fungi; Microsporidia; Enterocytozoonidae. The record is from RNAcentral.